This 383-nucleotide ribosomal RNA is filed under the name uncultured bacterium. RNAcentral's name for it is "bacterial SSU rRNA". It matches the Rfam family "Bacterial small subunit ribosomal RNA", at positions 28 to 419 of the family's 1533-position model. The record is from RNAcentral.
GACGAACGCUGGCGGCGUGCCUAACACAUGCAAGUGGAGCGACGAACCAGGGCUUGCCCUGGAGCAAAGCCGCGAACGGGUGAGUAACACGUGGGUUACCUGCCUCGAUGACCGGGACAACCCGAGGAAACUCGGGCUAAUACCGGAUGUGCCCGCAAGGGGAAAGGAAGCUUCGGCCUCCGCAUCGAGAUGGGCCCGCGGCCCAUUAGCUUGUUGGUGAGGUAACGGCUCACCAAGGCUCCGAUGGGUAGCUGGUCUGAGAGGACGAUCAGCCACACUGGGACUGAGACACGGCCCAGACUCCUACGGGAGGCAGCAGUGGGGAAUCUUGCGCAAUGCGCGAAAGCGUGACGCAGCAACGCCGCGUGGGGAAGAAGGCUUUC